Molecule: transfer RNA, 88 nt
Filed under: Burkholderiaceae bacterium
Lineage: Bacteria; Pseudomonadati; Pseudomonadota; Betaproteobacteria; Burkholderiales; Burkholderiaceae
Description: tRNA-Ser
Rfam family: tRNA
About the family: Transfer RNA (tRNA) molecules are approximately 80 nucleotides in length. Their secondary structure includes four short double-helical elements and three loops (D, anti-codon, and T loops).
Source: RNAcentral
GGAAGAGUGGCAGAGUGGUCGAUUGCACCGGUCUUGAAAACCGGCGUUGGGAAACCAACCGUGAGUUCGAAUCUCACCUCUUCCGCCA